Lactifluus subvellereus is the source of this 85-nucleotide non-coding RNA. The record is from the annotation of a GenBank genome assembly. NCBI's taxonomy places the organism in Eukaryota, Fungi, Basidiomycota, Agaricomycetes, Russulales, Russulaceae.
GGUUCAGUGGUCUAAUGGUUAUGAUUUCUGUCUCACACACAUGAAGGGUCACAGAAGGUUCCCGGUUCGAUCCCGGGCUGAACCA